GAUGAACGCUGGCGGCGUGCCUAAUACAUGCAAGUCGAACGAGUGGCGAACGGGUGAGUAACACGUGGGAAACUACCCUUCAGCGGGGGAUAACUACUGGAAACGGUGGCUAAUACCGCAUACUAUCGGAUGAACCCAUAUGGGAUUAGCUAGUAGGUGGGGUAAAGGCUCACCUAGGCGACGAUCUCUAGCUGGUCUGAGAGGAUGAUCAGCCACACUGGGACUGAGACACGGCCCAGACUCCUACGGGAGGCAGCAGUGGGGAAUAUUGCACAAUGGGCGCAAGCCUGAUGCAGCCAUGCCGCGUGUAUGAAGAAGGCCUUAGGGUUGUAAAGUACUUUCAGCGGGGAGGCGUUACCCGCAGAAGAAGCACCGGCUAACUCCGUGCCAGCAGCCGCGGUAAUAC
RNAcentral lists this ribosomal RNA (406 nucleotides) under uncultured bacterium. Its description in RNAcentral is "partial 16S ribosomal RNA". It matches the Rfam family "Bacterial small subunit ribosomal RNA", at positions 28 to 526 of the family's 1533-position model. The record is from RNAcentral.